UAGAUUUCUCUAAUUUUUGUGCUAUUUUCACAUUUCCUGACCGGUGUGAGAAAAAUAUUUCUCCUCACUAGUGAAAAAUCUGUUCUCGGCAAAUGAUUAGUCGAAAUUUGAUUAUGACGUCAAAAUGUUUUGUUUUCUUCUCAAUUUUCCUAUUGUGACGUCAUGAAAAAAGGCGACCUUGCCUGAUGACGUCGCAUAUAAAGAGCACAAUUUUCUGAAAAUCUUUGAAAAAGAACGAUAAAAAGCAUUAGAGAAACAGAUUCCGACACUAUAACUCGUGUAUUACGAUAUUUCUCCACUCUCGACAGUUAAAUUUUAUUAUUUAAAGGGCUCGGCAAGCCUCGCGCUUUAAAUAAUAAAAUUUAACUGUCUCGAGUGGAGAAAUAUCGUAAUACACUUGUUGCAGUGUAAGAAUCUAUAUAUAUAUA
RNAcentral lists this long non-coding RNA (428 nucleotides) under Mytilus galloprovincialis (Mediterranean mussel). Lineage: Eukaryota; Metazoa; Mollusca; Bivalvia; Mytilida; Mytilidae. The record is from RNAcentral.